Molecule: ribosomal RNA, 382 nt
Filed under: uncultured Hydrogenophaga sp.
Lineage: Bacteria; Pseudomonadati; Pseudomonadota; Betaproteobacteria; Burkholderiales; Comamonadaceae
Description: bacterial SSU rRNA
Rfam family: Bacterial small subunit ribosomal RNA
Source: RNAcentral
CACCUUUGACAUGGCAGGAAGUUUCCAGAGAUGGAUUCGUGCUCGAAAGAGAACCUGCACACAGGUGCUGCAUGGCUGUCGUCAGCUCGUGUCGUGAGAUGUUGGGUUAAGUCCCGCAACGAGCGCAACACUUGCCAUUAGUUGCUACGAAAGGGCACUCUAAUGGGACUGCCGGUGACAAACCGGAGGAAGGUGGGGAUGACGUCAAGUCCUCAUGGCCCUUAUAGGUGGGGCUACACACGUCAUACAAUGGCCGGUACAAAGGGCAGCCAACCCGCGAGGGGGAGCCAAUCCCAUAAAGCCGGUCGUAGUCCGGAUCGCAGUCUGCAACUCGACUGCGUGAAGUCGGAAUCGCUAGUAAUCGUGGAUCAGCAUGUCACGG